Molecule: non-coding RNA, 147 nt
Organism: Pangasius djambal
Lineage: Eukaryota; Metazoa; Chordata; Actinopteri; Siluriformes; Pangasiidae
Source: the annotation of a GenBank genome assembly
GGAGGUGGCCGAGAGGUUAAGGCUAUGCACUGCAAAUCCAGUGUGUUCUGGGAGGUAACGGGGAUGUAAGGUUAUACGGGUGACCUAGGUCGACAAGAGGUUAAGGCGAUGGACUGUUAAACGUGGGUUCGGAUCCCACCCUCGUCG